GACGAACGCUGGCGGCGUGCUUAACACAUGCAAGUCGAACGAGUGGCGAACGGUUGAGUACCAAUUUGUUGAUCUGCCUUGCACUCUGGGAUAAGCUUGGAAACCUGGGUCUAAUACCUGCUAGUGCAAGAUGAGCUCGCGGCCUAUCAGCUUGUUGGUGGGGUAAUGGCUACCAAGGCGCGACGGGUAGCCGGCCUGAGAGGGUGUACGGCCACAUUGGGACUGAGAUACGGCCCAGACUCCUACGGGAGGCAGCAGUGGGGAAUAUUGCACAAUGGGCGGAAGCCUGAUGCAGCGACGCCGCGUGAGUGAAGAAGGUUUUCGGAUCGUAAAACUCUGUUGUUAGAAAAGCGGUAUCUAACCAGAAAGCCACGGCUAACUACGUGCCAGCAGCCGCGGUAAUAC
RNAcentral lists this ribosomal RNA (405 nucleotides) under uncultured bacterium. Its description in RNAcentral is "partial 16S ribosomal RNA". It matches the Rfam family "Bacterial small subunit ribosomal RNA", at positions 28 to 526 of the family's 1533-position model. The record is from RNAcentral.